RNAcentral lists this ribosomal RNA (495 nucleotides) under uncultured bacterium. RNAcentral's name for it is "partial 16S ribosomal RNA". It matches the Rfam family "Bacterial small subunit ribosomal RNA", at positions 28 to 505 of the family's 1533-position model. The record is from RNAcentral.
GAUGAACGCUGGCGGCGUGCCUAAUACAUGCAAGUCGAGCGAACAGACGAGGAGCUUGCUCCUCUGACGUUAGCGGCGGACGGGUGAGUAACACGUGGAUAACCUACCUAUAAGACUGGGAUAACUUCGGGAAACCGGAGCUAAUACCGGAUAAUAUAUUGAACCGCAUGGUUCAAUAGUGAAAGACGGUUUUGCUGUCACUUAUAGAUGGAUCCGCGCCGCAUUAGCUAGUUGGUAAGGUAACGGCUUACCAAGGCAACGAUGCGUAGCCGACCUGAGAGGGUGAGCGGCCACACUGGAACUGAGACACGGUCCAGACUCCUACGGGAGGCAGCAGUAGGGAAUCUGCCGCAAGGGGCGAAAGCCUGACGGAGCAACGCCGCGUGAGUGAUGAAGGUCUUCGGAUCGUAAAACUCUGUUAUUAGGGAAGAACAAAUGUGUAAGUAACUAUGCACGUCUUGACGGUACCUAAUCAGAAAGCCACGGCUAACUACG